Molecule: ribosomal RNA, 645 nt
Filed under: uncultured bacterium
Lineage: Bacteria
Description: bacterial SSU rRNA
Rfam family: Bacterial small subunit ribosomal RNA
Source: RNAcentral
CACGGCGCACGGGUGAGUAACACGUGGGCAACCUGCCCUUCAAUGGGGGAUAACCCCGCGAAAGCGGGGCUAAUACCGCAUGAUAUUCCUGGGACUCCUGUUCCGGGACUCAAAGGCCGUAAGGUCGUUGAAGGAGGGGCCCGCGCCCGAUUAGCUUGUUGGCGAGGUGACGGCUCACCAAGGCUUUGAUCGGUAGCCGGUCUGAGAGGAUGGCCGGCCACACUGGAACUGAGACACGGUCCAGACUCCUACGGGAGGCAGCAGUGGGGAAUCUUGCGCAAUGGGCGAAAGCCUGACGCAGCGACGCCGCGUGGGGGAUGAAGCUUCUCGGAGUGUAAACCCCUUUCGACCCGGACGAAACGCCCGCAAGGGCUUGACGGUACGGGUAUAAGAAGCCCCGGCUAACUACGUGCCAGCAGCCGCGGUAAGACGUAGGGGGCCAGCGUUGCUCGGAAUUACUGGGCGUAAAGGGUUCGUAGGCGGUGUGGCAAGUCGGGAGUGAAAUCUCUGGGCUUAACUCAGAGGCUGCUUCCGAAACUGCCGUGCUAGAGUGCGGGAGAGGCGAGUGGAAUUGCAGGUGUAGCGGUGAAAUGCGUAGAUAUCUGCAGGAACACCCGUGGCGAAGGCGGCUCGCUGGACCGCAAC